This 2401-nucleotide unclassified non-coding RNA is filed under the name Hevea brasiliensis (rubber tree). Lineage: Eukaryota; Viridiplantae; Streptophyta; Magnoliopsida; Malpighiales; Euphorbiaceae. The record is from RNAcentral.
CAGAAAAGAAAAAGACAAAAUUAAUCUGCAACAGAUGAUCAAAUAGAAGAGAAGUUUUCCACAUCAAAUUUACACAAAUUUUACAGGCAAGAGUAUCAAGAAUGAUAACAGAGAUACUGUCCACAUUGGAGACUGCAAACAUUUAUAUUCCACAAUACAUAAAACCUCAAGUGUGUCUAUCCAACCCAAACCCAGAUUGUUUUUUUAUCAGUAAUAAGUAUCAAAUCCAACACCAACUAACAAAAUCCCCCCAACAAAACUAAUAAAAAAUAUAAAUAAAUGCCCCAGACUCUAUAGAACAAAAAUUAACUUUAAAAGAAGAUUAAAAAAAAACCUGUUUUAAAUGACAAAAGAUUUCUUAUUUCUGCAACUCCAUUUCAUGUCUUCUAAUUGAUUGGAAAUUGAAACCCCACAAUGGCAUUGGAUUGUUGAAGCUCAAUCAGACAGGGGUUUAGUCUUGGACCUAUAGAGGAGCUUCUUCUUCUUGGAGGUUUGGUUAUCAAUAGUGAGUACUACCUUCCCGGAUUCACUAAUCUUGAAGGUGUCACAGAUUAUAGGCUCAUCAGUUGGGCUAACCUUCCUGGUUUUUGAUACAAUAACAGUGUAACCAUCCUCUGCACUAGGCACGAACUCAGCUCCAUAGCUCACAUCCCAACCCACUACUCGGAGUUCCCAAACCAGAAGGCACCUCUCAGAAAAUGAGAAUUCAACGGUAUGUUUGGUGGUUGGCUUAAUUAUAACCUCUGUGGCAGAAUCAGCAACGGUGAAUUCCUGUUCACCUUCCCUGCUUAGUCCACCAUACUGAACUGGCACUUGUUCAGGAGCUAUGUAUCUGAAAAGGGUCUCAGCAGAUUUGGAUGGACCAGCGAAAACAAACUUGCUCUUGGUCCUCUGUGUCAGGAAAGGACUAAUCAUCCUAUUGAAAGCAAGGUACCACCAUGGAACAUUGAUGAAGACCUGUUUCGCAACAAAUUCAGGAUAGUUAUCUUGAAGCAAAGCAACGGCUUGAUUGGUGGCCUGCCUAAGCUCCCUCUUAGCAGGCCCCGGAGAAUUCUUGAGAUCGUUGACCUGAACAAUAGUGCAGAUACCAUUGGGACUGAAAUCAAGCUUCCUAAUGCUCCUCUCCAAGAACUGAAUCCUCCACUGAAGAAAUUUCACACGCUUCUCCUCAUUAGCAAAGCAAUUCUGAUACAGCUCCUUGUCCUGAAAAGCACCAAAAACAUUAUAGCACACAGGAUGACCUUCUUUGUCAAAUCCGUGCAUAAACACAGCCUUUUCCAAUUCAUUUCCAAGGUCUUCUUCAAGCAGAGCAUCAAUUCCAAAAUCCUUUCUCCAGCGCACUGUGUUCUUGAUCAUAGUGAAGGCAUCCUUCACCUUGAAAUCCCUGGCUCUCAGGAAUUUCAAGAGGAUCACAUCACUCUUCUCAUCUCCAAGAAGUGGAAUUCCCCAGAUGAAAACUUCCUCCGGGGGUGGCGGAGGAGGAGCGGGGGUUUCCUCAGCUUUGGGUUCCUCUACUGGAGCAGCCUCAACUUCUUUAGCGGGGGCUGACUCCUCUGCAGCAGGAGGAGUCGAAGAAACCGCUAUUACGGUCUCCUCAAUUGCCUCUACUGUCUUGGCUCCAUCCUCAUCCACAGUAGUCACCUUCGCCACCACCUCUUCAGCGACCACAACAGCUUCCGCCACUGGCUCAUCCUUCUUUUCUUCUUUUACUUCCACCUUCUCCUCUUCUUUCACUUCAACCUUCUCUUCCUCUUUCGCUUCCACUGGCGGUGGGGGUGGUGGGGUUACAGUCUCAGCCUCGGCGGGUUUAGGUUCUUCAGUUUUGGCCACUUCACUCGUAGAUGGAACAUCAGGAGUUUUCUCUUCUUCCUUGACUUCAACCUUUUCUUCCUCCUUCACUUCAACUUUCUCCUCCACCUUCUCCUCUGCUUUUUCAGGCUCAGCCGGCUUCUCCUCCUCUUUAGCAGGUGGCGGCGGCGGGGGAGCAGUGAACUGAUGCUUAUUAAGAGCUUCUUGGAUAUGCUGUUUCAACUCAUCAAGGGCUUUCUUUUGAGCGUCAGGGAGUUCACCAACAACAUUAGUCUCUUCCUUAAAAGAAACGGAUUGGGCAAUUUUCACUUCCCCAGUUUCCUUAGGUUUCUCAGCUUCAACAGCGACGACCUCCUCUUCAACCACAGGUGCAGGCUUUUCCGGUGCCUCAGGUUCCGGUUCAGGAGCCGGUGGAGGCUCUUUCUCAGUAACGGGCUUCUCCACAACUACUUCCUCAGUUGAACGAGCCUCAGGUGCAGGUGCUGCCGGCUUCUGGGUCUCCUCAGCCAUCGUCGAUGAUGAUGAUUUGCUUUUGAUAGAUCAAGAAAAGAAAAAAAAAAUCAAUCUUUACAGAGAGAGAGAGAGAGAGAAC